Salvia splendens (bonfire salvia) is the source of this 410-nucleotide long non-coding RNA. RefSeq lists it as uncharacterized. The transcript is spliced from 3 exons. The record is from RefSeq and is a predicted model, not a curated record. NCBI's taxonomy places the organism in Eukaryota, Viridiplantae, Streptophyta, Magnoliopsida, Lamiales, Lamiaceae.
GGUCUUCACAGAGCACCGCCUCCUCUCCCAAUCUCACCUCCUCCCCCAAUUCUCGUCUGCAAUAGGUGUGAUUCAUCUCUGCUCGAGGACGCUUCAUUUCCCGCUCAAGACAAAUUUUCCAGCGGUUUUUCCUCUUAAUUGAGAUCGAGAUUUCACAGUAUCCAGAUACCGUGGCUGCUAAACUGAAGGGAACUGCUGGAGUCAUAUAAAUGCGGCGUUGCGUGCAGAGCUGGAGAGGCUAAAUGCAGCAUCACACUAGCGUGGAGUUACGCUCGGAAUUUGCGAAAGAAAAUGAGAGUGUAUUAGAACAAUUGUUUACCCUUAGUGAAAAGUGAAAAGGUUAAUAGAAUGAGUAAAAACUCAGUGUAUAACAAUCUUAUUAAUUUUAUGUAAGUUUUGAAUUUUGAUAA